Molecule: ribosomal RNA, 253 nt
Filed under: uncultured microorganism
Description: partial 16S ribosomal RNA
Rfam family: Bacterial small subunit ribosomal RNA
Source: RNAcentral
UACGUAGGUCCCGAGCGUUGUCCGGAUUUAUUGGGCGUAAAGCGAGCGCAGGUGGUUCCUUAAGUCUGAUGUGAAAGCCCACGGCUCAACCGUGGAGGGUCAUUGGAAACUGGGAGACUUGAGUGCAGAAGAGGAAAGUGGAAUUCCAUGUGUAGCGGUGAAAUGCGUAGAGAUAUGGAGGAACACCAGUGGCGAAGGCGACUUUCUGGUCUGUAACUGACACUGAGGCGCGAAAGCGUGGGGAGCAAACAGG